GUGCGUAACAGCUCACUGGUCUAGUGGUUCCGCGCCGACACUGUAGCGGGGCUCAAGCACACCACCGAAGACGCGGCAGUAGCUUUGCUACUGGGUAGGAGAGCGUCCCAUGCGGGGCGAAGCGGCGGCGCAAGCCCGCCGUGGACCGCAUGGGAGUGAGAAUGCAGACAUGAGUAGCGAAAGACGGGUGAAGAUCCCGUCCGCUGGACGACCAAGGGUUCCAGGGCCACGUUCAUCGUCCCUGGGUGAGUCGGGUCCUAAGGCGAGGCCGACAGGCGUAGUCGAAUGGACGAACGGGUCGAUAUUCCCGUACCGGCAUGCAACCGGCAAAACCGAAUCCGCGAGUACUAACCUCCGGGUCCGGGCUUACGUCUCCUUCGGGAGCCGGAUGCCCUGGCCUGUUGGGACCGUAACGGUAGUAGGUCAGCGCGGGAGUGACGCAGAAGGGUAGCCGGCCGCGGAGGUGGUCUUCCGUGGUCAAGCACGCAGCCCGUCCCACAGGCAAAUCCGUGGGGCGCGUGGGCGAGGUGCGAUGAUGGGCGCCGCAGGGCGCGAUAUCCGGUGAUCCCGGCUGCCGAGAAAAGCUUCGGCGUGAGGCGGCGUGCCGCCCGUACCCCAAACCGACACUGGUGGUCAGGUAGAGAAUACCAAAGCGAUCGAGCGAAUCCUGGUCAAGGAACUCGGCAAAUCACUCCCGUUCCUUCGGUUUAAGGGAGACCCCCGAUGGUGAACACACUUGCUGUGGGAGCUUUUGGGGGUGGCACAGACCAGGGGGUAGCGACUGUUUACCAAAAACACAGGAGCGUGCGAAGGCGCAAGCCGCUGUAUACGCUCUGACGCCUGCCCGGUGCCGGAAGGUUAAGAGGAUCCGUCAGGCCUCGGCCGAAGCGGUGAAUUCAAGCCCCGGUAAACGGCGGUGGUAACUAUAACCAUCCUAAGGUAGCGAAAUUCCUUGUCGGGUAAGUUCCGACCUGCACGAAUGGCGUAACGACUUCCCCACUGUCUCGACCAGGAGCUCGGCGAAAUUGCAGUACGAGUAAAGAUGCUCGUUAAGCGCAGAAGGACGAAAAGACCCCGGGACCUUUACUAUACCUUGGUAUUGGCAUUCGGUGUGGAUUGUGUAGCAUAGGCGGAAGGCUUCGAAGCCACGGCGCCAGCCGCGGUGGAGCCGCAAGGUGAAAUACCGCUCUGUUCGCAUUGGAUGUCUAACCUCGACCAGUCAUCCUGGUCAGGGACAGUGCCUGGCGGGUAGUUUAACUGGGGCGGUUGCCUCCCAAAGAGUAACGGAGGCGCUCAAAGGUUCCCUCAGCCCGGUUGGCAAUCGGGUGGCGAGUGUAAGUGCACAAGGGAGCUUGACUGCGAGACUGACGGGUCGAGCAGGGACGAAAGUCGGAACUAGUGAUCCGGUGCCGGUGUACGGACGCGGCAUCGCUCAACGGAUAAAAGGUACCCCGGGGAUAACAGGCUGAUCAUUCCCAAGAGUCCAUAUCGACGGGAUGGUUUGGCACCUCGAUGUCGGCUCGUCGCAUCCUGGGGCUGGAGCAGGUCCCAAGGGUUCGGCUGUUCGCCGAUUAAAGCGGCACGCGAGCUGGGUUCAGAACGUCGUGAGACAGUUUGGUCUCUAUCCUCUGCGCUCGUCGGAAUGUUGAGGAGGCCUGCCCAUAGUACGAGAGGACCUGGGUGGACGAACCUCUGGUAUGCCGGUUGUCACGCCAGUGGCACGGCCGGUUGGCUACGUUCGGAAGGGAUAACCGCUGAAAGCAUCUAAGCGGGAAGCCUGCUCCAAGAUAAGCAUUCCAUAGGACUACGGGUCCUUGAAGUCCCCAUGCAGAACACGUGGUUGAUAGGCCGGACGUGGAAGCCCCGCGAGGGGUGGAGCCGACCGGUACUAACGGACGAAAGGCAACACGAC
Molecule: ribosomal RNA, 1912 nt
Filed under: Bifidobacterium breve
Lineage: Bacteria; Bacillati; Actinomycetota; Actinomycetes; Bifidobacteriales; Bifidobacteriaceae
Description: bacterial LSU rRNA
Rfam family: Bacterial large subunit ribosomal RNA
Source: RNAcentral